Felis catus (domestic cat) is the source of this 6026-nucleotide long non-coding RNA. RefSeq lists it as uncharacterized. The transcript has 6 exons. The record is from RefSeq and is a predicted model, not a curated record. NCBI's taxonomy places the organism in Eukaryota, Metazoa, Chordata, Mammalia, Carnivora, Felidae.
UUUGCUGGCCUGGGUUUUUUGUUUGUUUGUUUGUUUUUUGUUUUUUUCAGCCAGCUUAGGACAUCCUCUUCUUUUUAGAGAUCAGAAAAUAUUUGGAUUUUUUUUUAGAAUGUUAGAUGUUUUAUACAUAUAUGUAUUUUCCCAAAUAAUCAAUUAUUUCUCUCAAACUGUUUAUCAAAUGAUAUUUUUGCUUCCAGUGUUUCAGAAUGGCACCUUUCUCCUGGGUUUUAUUUCAUAAUUGCUUGUUUUUUAAUGAGCAUUAUAUGUUCAGUCACCUCUUUGAGGAUACUGAAGUCUCUUUCUGGUUGCUCUUUUCUUUUCACUUCAUUUGAUAUGAAUCUGUCUCUAGACUGUUGAUGCUGUUGGCUGCCUUUCUCAGUGUGAGUUUUCGUGUAGUUUGGAACUCAGCCUCCAGGUUCAUUUUUCGUUAUUUUCUCUCUCUGCCUCCCUUCUCUGUUCUUCACUCUUUUCUUCCAGUGACUGAGCAUUUACCCUCCCUGGGGUCUGUCCAGAGUGAGGUCUCCUGGGCAGCCAGGGCUGCUGCCCUGCUAUGACCCUGAGGAUGACUCAGGGCAGGAGGAGGCUGGGUCAGGUCUACACGCAGACCCGUUUUGGUGUCCAGGGGCGUCCCUAUCCAUCUAUUUUCUUGAAGAGGGUAGGGAGAGGCCAGUCACAGCUUCUGGAAUUUUGAUCAGUGAACAUGACUCUGGUCCCCCACCUCAAGUGGGCAAUUUAAUUCUUUUUCAUCACUUGACAGACCUUGAAUUCCUAGCUGUCCUUAACUGUAUCUAGACGCAGAGCUCCACAGAUCACAGCUUCAGCCCUAUUCAUUUUUUGCAUUUAUAUCCCAUUUCUGAGAAUACCUAUGGGGAUAUUCUUCCCUUGUUGAACAUAGAGUUUUAUUUUCUCCAAUAGUUUAUUCAUCGUUGCUUUGCAUGGUAGCCUCUGGGCUACCAUGUGCUCCAGUUUGUUUCCCUUCUUCUGAUGCACCCAUUUUCUCAGUGGCACAGCAAGGUGAUCUAAACUUAGAACUGCACCAGCCUCUUUUGCUGUUCUGUUUCCCUCACGUGUCUGUGUCUUUUGUGCAAGCAUUAAUUGUAGCUUUAUGCUCCAUGCUAGGGGGCUGCUCUGACCAGUUCCUCCAAAAGUUCUGAUAACUUCCUCAAGGCUAGAUCAGGUAGGAGGCUCUAUACUACAGCAGUUACCCAAGAUGAGGAUGGGGAAAGUGGUGCUCUUUCCUACCCAACCUGAGGAUGCAUGCAAGGGGCCCUGGGAUGGCAGUUUUAGGAUAGGAGGAAGGUUUCUGCUUGGGCUUCCAUGCCAACAUUUCUGUACAGAUCUCAAGCCAGGCUGGAUCCAGCACGAGGGUGGAUGUGAGAGCAAACACUGGGAGCUGGAGAUGGUCCCUGGAUGGACAAACAAGUUUCAUAUGUCAUGGGUGUAUAUGAUAGCAGGAUGCAGCUGAGGCAUUAUGUAGCCAUGUCCUUGGGACCCAGUGAGCAAAUCACCCAAUAUUCCAAAUCCACUCUGGUCUGAGUGAGCCCGGGAUUCCCAGUUGCUUCCAGAUAGAGGCAGGGCUCAUGCAUGGCUCCAGUUUGUUUCCCUUCUCCUGCUACACCCAUUUUCUCAGUGGCACAGCAAGGUGAUCUAAACUUAGAACUACACCAGCCUCUUUUGCAAUAUAAAUAGAACCAGGGCUCCUGCUCGAGUCCCCUCUUGGCUAUGAAUUGAGAGGCAGUAGGGAGCAGCCUCUGCCCCACCCAAAGGCCCUGGCUCCCCUUGAGCAGUCUGUGCUCAGGCCCAGUGGAGCUGAGGAGCAGACAUGAGCUGGCUUCCCUCACACCAGACACACUGGGCUACCUGCUUGGUCAGACUGGGCACCAGUGAAAGUUUGUCCCAGAGGCCAGUUCUUCCUGGAACUGAGUGUCAUUUCAGGACAGAGAAUGUCAGGAGUCAUAACUUGGCCCUGCAGCAAAUGAAAGUCUUCCAAUCCUGCCUGAGAUGGCAGACUGCUUAGCUUGGGCCUUUGGCCUGAGUUAGGAUUGCAGUUCCAUGGGGAGUUGCUGGAAAUCCCACCAGGGGGAGCCCCUUCCACAUCUUGCCCCAGUGAGUCUCCGUCAGCCUCCCAGAGUAUUUGUGUGGGUGCACACUGAUGUAGUUUUUAUAUGAUACAACAUUGAACCAUGCCUCUAUUUUCCUAACUCACAUAUUAAACUUGAUCUACUGCCAUGGUUCAGGUUCUAUUGUGCUUCAGAUAAGAGUAGUUAUGACUGUAGUUACGUAACAUUACAGGCAUAUGUUGCAGUGUGGGGUGAGAGAGAAACGAGAGUGAUGUAUCUUCACUUGCCAAAUACUGCUUUGUCCACCCCACCUGGUAACCAAGGUUCUGAGAAUGUUCUGAAGCUUCAGAGUCCCAGACAGUUGGAGGAGAGAGGCACGGGAGGUGGAUCAGUAUGUCGGGUGCUUGAUGGGCUCCACUGCUCUCAGGCAGGCAUCCCCACUAGAACAGAUAGCCCUGGCUACCAACAAAUUCUCCCUUUCCAUUCUUGCCUUGUGCUCUGGAGACCACGGGUGGGGCGGUUCAAGGAGUGCUCAAGGAAGACACUGCUUGGGCGAGGAUGCUGUGGUCACAUCUGAGGAAGGGAGGUGGCUAACCCUGCCUCGUGUGUGCUGGAGAGCAACUAGGGGCAGCAAGCCCGGUGACAGCUGGCAGAGAGACUGAGCAGCGCAAGUAGGGGCAACCUUUCCAGCUUUAACUGCUCAGAUAGCAGACAGUCUGGCUCCCUAUAAAGCACCACAGGCUCCCCUGCCUGGGUUAAAACACUGUAGGGUUGUGCUGUUAGAAGUGGUCAAGUAAGUCAGGGGGAAUUCAGGGUCAUGGGGCUUGUAAUUCUCUGGUGCAGGCUGAGAAAAUGCCAAGCUCUCCCAGGAAAAGUAUCAUGUUCCACAGAGCGCUGCCCACGUUGCAGGCCUUUUUCCCCAGUAGAUCAGAAGAAAAGAGAGAGUAGAACAAAGGAGAACAGUGACUAAGCAAUUCUCCAGCACAAGAAAGGCAAGAGUUGGAGACUUACUGAUGAAGAGGUCCCUUCAUGGUCACCAAAAAGGUGUUGCCAGAAUGGUGUCUCUUAAAAGUGGACAGCCAGAGUGAAGAAGCCAGAUAAAGAAGAGUACAUCCUUCAUGAUGUCACGUAUAUGAAGGUGUAGAAAAUGCAAAUUAAUCUAUAGUGUUGGCUACAUUUCCCAGCCUCCUUUCAAACGGGUGUGGUCACAUGACCAAAUUCUCUCCAGUGGAAGGCUUUUCCCCUUUCUUUGUGGCAUUUACAGACUAGCUGCCCUCACUGGAAAUUGAGGCCACCUCAUCCAGGGCCACAUGCAGCAGGAUUCCACCAGUGCUGCUGUCACUGCUGUCAUCCCCACCAGGUCGGAGGCUCUGAUCCCAGAGUUGGUACAGGUAGUAUUUUAAGAGUGAGUUCCAAAAAUGUAAGCUGAGUUUCCCUGGUUCUUUCUAGUCUACACAGAUGCGCAAAUGGGGCUACCAUAAGGUAGUAAGCCAAAUUUCAGUGUCUCUUCCAAACCCCUAAAAGCCUCCUUCUCUGUCCAAGUACUGCUGGGCUCUUAGGAAAGUCUUACAGACACUCAUAAAUCCAGUCAUCCAGGUAUACUUUCAUUUUGCUCCUGCGAGCAUCGCCCCCAAUGAAUAAGUUCUCAAGGUACAAAAUCCCAUACUGGGGUAUGUCUGUACCCAGGGGGGAAAGGUCUUUCCCUCUCUUUCAUGUUCCACUUCAUUAGAGGGCUGCCCAAGCAAUGCCUGUGCGCUCCAGGGUCUUACAGAACUUCUGGAACUGCAGAUUCAUAUUGACAUUCAGUCUUCCUUUUGCCUGGGAAGGAGGACUAGAGAUGGUGACAAAUUACAUCCACUUACUCUUUAAUUCAACAAAUACUUCCUGAAUUCCUUUUCCAUGCUAGCCAUGUGGUACAAGAUACAUGUGGUCUCUGUACCCAUGGAGUUUACAGCCUGUUGCAAGACGAAAACAAAACACACAACAAAAGUCACUUAAAAUUUUACAUUCAAGACUUUGUUAUUGGGUCCAGUUCAUUGUGGAUGAUUGCUGCUUCUGCUUGGGUGAGUUUUGCGCAUGAAGCUUGGCAACCCUCAGGCAAAUAGAUGCUGACAGUCUGCCUUACCAUGUGGGGCACAACCCCUCCUUAUCCCAUGGGGCCUCAUGCAGGAGAUUAAUCCUUGCUGUGCUAAAAUUGUCUGAUUUUUUUUUCACACUUAGUGACAGUUAAAGAAAAACAUGAACUGUGUUUUCCCAAGAGCUUUCUCCCUACCAUUCCACACCAUGGUUCCUAAACUCUCCAUUUCCUGAAGCAAAACUGGAUAGCAAAGAGAAUGGCCUGGUGGCUGUGAUAUUAACACUGUAAGAGGAGGCCAAGGAUUUGUUAACCCUGGCAGAAGAGGGAGGCAGGCCAGUGCAGACAUGGGGAGGUAGGAAAUUUUGAGAGAAGGUGAAAGGAAGGCUCACAGAGGGGGAAGUGGAAGGUUGAAGAAAGAAGUACGGGAGGAACUGAGGGAGGUCUUGGAGGCACAUUCUCUGUCGGCCUAGGAAACCCCACACAGAGAUAAACCGAAGUUCUGGGCAGCAGGUACAUGGCAGGGAGCACCUAGUGCAUCCCUCUGAGACUCUAUACUGUUUGGAUUUGGGCCUUGAAAACCUUGAGUACCAAUCUUCCUUGGGGUUUUACAUGAGAAUGAAAAGUCUCCCCAGCUACCAAAUAACACAUGAAGGAGAUGUAUUCUUACCUCACUUUCUAUGGAAAUGAAAGGAUCUCAUAGAAAACAUCCAGUGAACAAACAGUAAGACUGAGAGACCCUUUGCUUCUCAUCCUCUCCCAGGUCUCCCCACUGCACAUCUGUCUCCAUGUAGCCCAGAGAAACUAAACUCAGUUUGGUGGUCAUCCGGGGUUGAAAUCCAGCAUGGAAUAUUAGCUUCCUGUCCAAGAAAAUCCAGAUAUAUAAUUUUUUACACCAUUAAAAUGUCAGAUUUCCUUUCUUAUUUUCUCCCAUUCAAGUACUAACCAAUCUCAACCCUGCUUAGCUUCUGAGACCAAAAGAGAUUGGGAGUGUUCAGGGUGGUAUGACUGUAGACACCUUUUUUAUUUUCUUACUUUCUGGUUCUGUGGCUUGGAAUACAGAAACUUUCAGUCCCUCCUUUUGUGAAGCGUCUAUUGAUCAGGAAACAUACCCUAUAAUAACAUUAAGACAAUAUAUUACCUGAUGGGUUCAUGUGAUUAUUUCCUCAAGUGAGAGAUUCUUUCAUAAUUUGAAUAAUUUGAUUCUAUGAGUAGAGUGUUCUGUAAAUGAUGUUAUAAAGUAAGUUCAACGACUUAAAAGGCCCAUCCCAUUAAAGGGAGGAUAGAUCUCGGUAGAGAAAUUUCCUCCUCUGCCUUGUACCUCUAACCCCUCACUACUCCAUACAGGGUUUUUGUGGAACACAUAGGCCACGCCUUACUCCAGGUGGGCACCUCGUCAAGACUGGAGGAAUACCUGCAGGCGGUGGCAGCUACACUGAAUGUGGCCCCUGCUGUGGUCAGUGGCAAAUGGUCAGGCAACUCCUCCAGUGGAGAAGUUUGAACGCUGUUUUCCAGAGACAUGAUGUAAACUUCAAGCCUCGGCUGGUGAUCAAGUUGUGUAGUGUAGUGUAGUUGUGUAGGUUGUGUAGUGGUGGCAAACUAUCUAUAAUGAAGGGAGGGACUCCAGCAGUACAGAGAAGGAGGUGUGCCACUUGUAUCACUAUUGCCCUCAGAUCAGGGGGCAGGUCAUUAUGAAGUUCUUGAGUAAUGCAUGAGAUGAAUGCAUUAUAGAUGGGCAUUCUCCUCAGGUGAAUGUAUCAUAGAUGGGAGUAUAGUCUAUGGCAUGAUGCCUAAAAUUAGGCAAUUAGAAGUCUCAGGUUGUCACUUUUUUUCAUUUGUUUGUGUUUUGUUUUUGUUUUUAAUUUCAGAGAGAGCGGGAGAGAGAGAGAGAG